CCUACGGGUGGCAGCAGUGGGGGAUAUUGCACAAUGGGCGAAAGCCUGAUGCAGCGACGCCGCGUGAGGGAAGACGGUCUUAGGAUUGUAAAGCUCUGUCUUUGGGGGAGAAAAUGACGGUACCCAAAGAGGAAGCUCCGGCUAACUACGUGCCAGCAGCCGCGGUAAUACGUAGGGCGCAAGCGUUGUCCGGAAUUAUUGGGUGUAAAGGGAGCGUAGGCGGGAUGGCAAGUAGAAUGUUAAAUCCAGCGGCUCAACCGGUGGCUGCGUUUGAAACUGGCGUUCUUGAGUGAAGUAGAGGCAGGCGGAAUGCCUAGUGUAGCGGUGAAAUGCGUAGAUAUUAGGAAGAACACCAGUGGCGAAGGCGGCCUGCUGGGCUUCAACUGACGCUGAGGCUCGAAAGCGUGGGUAGCGAACAGGAUUAGAUACCCUGGUAGUC
This 439-nucleotide ribosomal RNA is filed under the name uncultured bacterium. RNAcentral describes it as "partial 16S ribosomal RNA". It matches the Rfam family "Bacterial small subunit ribosomal RNA", at positions 338 to 795 of the family's 1533-position model. The record is from RNAcentral.